AGAGUUUGAUCCUGGCUCAGGAUGAACGCUGGCGGCGUGCCUAACACAUGCAAGUCGAACGAAGCGCCUGAUCAGAUUUCUUCGGAAUGAAGAUUUAGCGACUGAGUGGCGGACGGGUGAGUAACGCGUGGGCAACCUGCCUCAUACAGGGGGAUAACAGCCGGAAACGGCUGCUAAUACCGCAUAAGCGCACAGGACCGCAUGGUCCGGUGUGAAAAACUCCGGUGGUAUGAGAUGGGCCCGCGUCUGAUUAGCCAGUUGGCGGGGCAGCGGCCCACCAAAGCGACGAUCAGUAGCCGACCUGAGAGGGUGACCGGCCACAUUGGGACUGAGACACGGCCCAAACUCCUACGGGAGGCAGCAGUGGGGAAUAUUGCACAAUGGGGGAAACCCUGAUGCAGCGACGCCGCGUGAGCGAAGAAGUAUUUCGGUAUGUAAAGCUCUAUCAGCAGGGAAGAAGAAAGUGACGGUACCUGACUAAGAAGCACCGGCUAAAUACGUGCCAGCAGCCGCGGUAAUACGUAUGGUGCAAGCGUUAUCCGGAUUUACUGGGUGUAAAGGGAGCGCAGGCGGUACGGCAAGUCUGAUGUGAAAGCCCGGGGCUCAACCCCGGUACUGCAUUGGAAACUGUCGGACUAGAGUGUCGGAGGGGUAAGCGGAAUUCCUAGUGUAGCGGUGAAAUGCGUAGAUAUUAGGAGGAACACCAGUGGCGAAGGCGGCUUACUGGACGACAACUGACGCUGAGGCUCGAAAGCGUGGGGAGCAAACAGGAUUAGAUACCCUGGUAGUCCACGCCGUAA
Molecule: ribosomal RNA, 800 nt
Filed under: uncultured bacterium
Lineage: Bacteria
Description: bacterial SSU rRNA
Rfam family: Bacterial small subunit ribosomal RNA
Source: RNAcentral